RNAcentral lists this ribosomal RNA (506 nucleotides) under uncultured bacterium. RNAcentral's name for it is "partial 16S ribosomal RNA". It matches the Rfam family "Bacterial small subunit ribosomal RNA", at positions 28 to 523 of the family's 1533-position model. The record is from RNAcentral.
GAUGAACGCUAGCUACAGGCUUAACACAUGCAAGUCGAGGGGUAACAAGAGGAAAGCUUGCUUUUCUUGUUGACGACCGGCGCACGGGUGAGUAACGCGUAUCCAACCUGCCUAUAACUAGGGAAUAGCCUUGCGAAAGUAAGACUAAUACCCUAUGAUUUCCUUUGAUGACAUCAGAUUAGGAAUAAAGAUUUAUCGGUUAUAGAUGGGGAUGCGUCUGAUUAGCUUGUUGGCGGGGUAACGGCCCACCAAGGCAACGAUCAGUAGGGGUUCUGAGAGGAAGGUCCCCCACAUUGGAACUGAGACACGGUCCAAACUCCUACGUGAGGCAGCAGUGAGGAAUAUUGGUCAAUGGGCGGGGGCCUGAACCAGCCAAGUAGCGUGCAGGAUGACGGCCCUAUGGGUUGUAAACUGCUUUUAUACAGGAAUAAAGUUAGCCACGUGUGGUUAUUUGUAGGUACUGUAUGAAUAAGGACCGGCUAAUUCCGUGCCAGCCGCCGCAGUAA